Molecule: ribosomal RNA, 379 nt
Filed under: uncultured eukaryote
Lineage: Eukaryota
Description: partial 18S ribosomal RNA
Rfam family: Eukaryotic small subunit ribosomal RNA
Source: RNAcentral
CAAUAGCGUAUAUUAAAGUUGUUGCAGUUAAAAAGCUCGUAGUCGGAUUUUGGCAUCACGCCGCACUGUCUGCCGAUUGGUAAGUACGGUUUGGCGGUUGCUUCCUUCCGGUGCUGUAUGCUGCUCUUAAUUGAGCGGUAUGCUAGUUCCGGUUCAUUUACUUUGAGAAAAUUAGAGUGUUCAAAGCAGGCCUAUGCUCUGAAUAGGUUAGCAUGGAAUAAUAGAAUAGGACUUUGGUUCUAUUUGUUGGUUUCUAGGACCGAAGUAAUGAUUAAUAGGGACAGUUGGGGGCAUUCAUAUUCCAUUGUCAGAGGUGAAAUUCUUGGAUUAACGGAAGAUGAACUUCUGCGAAAGCAUCUGCCAAGGAUGUUUUCAUUGA